UUGAAUGGCCGCGAUAUUUUGAUCGUGCUAAGGUAGCAUAAUAAUUAGUUUUUUAAUUGAAAGCUGGUAUGAAAGGUUGAAUAAGAAAAUAACUGUCUCUUAUUAAUUUUAUUAGAAUUUUAUUUUUAAGUUAAAAAGCUUAAAUAUAGUUAAAAGACGAGAAGACCCUAUAGAGUUUUAUAAGAUAUUUUAAUUGAUUAUUUUUAGUAUAUAUAUAAAAAAUUAAUUAUAAAUUUUAUUUGAUUGGGAUGAUUGAAAAAUUUAAUAAACUUUUUUUAUAUAAAGACAUUAAUUUAUGAUUAUUUGAUCCAUAUUUAGUGAUUACAAGAUUAAAUUACCUUAGGGAUAACAGCGUAAUUUUUUUAUAGAGUU
Molecule: ribosomal RNA, 372 nt
Filed under: Timarcha tenebricosa
Lineage: Eukaryota; Metazoa; Arthropoda; Insecta; Coleoptera; Chrysomelidae
Description: partial 16S ribosomal RNA
Source: RNAcentral